CCGGGCUCUGGGGGAUCAAGGCGGGGACGCCUGGAAAAGUCACUGGUCUUCAUCGUCCCGGGCUGGCUGCCCUUGCGAACUACUGCGGGGCGUUAUUAGCUCAGUGGGCUGGAGCAAGGAGUCCCCAAGGAGAAAACUUGGGCUUGGACUUCAGUACUGCAAGGAGAACACUGCUGAAUACAGGAAACUCACAAGCAAGCUCUCUGACUGGCCUAGAAACAAAAGUGAAACCGACUUGCCUGUUUUCUUCCAGCAAGUUGAGUGAAGCACUCAAAGUCAAAGGGACUAGACACUUAUAUUGAAAGGCAGCAUAUUUAAAACUGGAUAUAUGGCAAUCGCUAGUAAUGGCAUAAGGAGGAAACUUUUCCUGUGAGUAGGUUAUUUCAUAACUGUAUCAUACAGGAUUUUCUGCAUUUUCCUCUGAAGCAGCCAUGUUGGUGAGAAGAUACUUGACUAGAUUGGCUACUGGUCUGAUCCAGUCUGGCAAUUCCUAUGUUCAACAAAUGCAGUGGGAAUGCCACCACUUUUGGAUGCUACAAAAUAACUGUUUGACUUUGCACAUCAAUGCUGCACAAUAGCGUGCGUGUGGCGGGAGGGGAGGAAAUUAUCUCAGUAUCUGGCCCUUUGUUGAUCAUGAAAGCAAGCAGGUGAGAAUAUGCAGAUGAUAAGAGUAAGCAAAGUGAUUCAUAAGCUUCCCUACACACCUAACUGCAGACCUAUAACUGUCCUGAAUUCAACCUUUUCCACUGCUGAAGCUCUUGUGAGUAGUAAAGCGCUUUCAGCUCUACUGAUGAAUGACACUAUAUAAAAGCUAGGUUUAUUAUUAUUAUUCCUAACCAUGGAACACAAUCAACUACAAAUACAUUAUUUGCUAUGAAGCAUUCUCUCUGUUUCGGUAGUGGGAGAAGGAUGCUGACUGCUUAUCGGAACAAUCUGUAAUCAUUUUAAAAAUAUGUGCCAGUUCCAAAACUCGCAUCAGAACAGCAAACAUUGACUGAGUACACGCACAUAAAAUUGAACCCUUGUGGGGAAAGCGAGGAGCUGAGAAGAUCCAUAAGAGAGGAGAAUGAAAUAAUUCCAGGAACAAAUGGCUGAAAACAAUACCCUCUUUCAACAGAAACCUUCUGAGAUCUCAGUUACAGAGCUGGCUUGACCUGCCAGUAAAGUGGAACAAGGCCACUUGGCAGACAUCUUUGUGCUUCUGGUAGAUCCCCAAGAAUUGUGCGUAUCUCAGGAAUCUGUGAGACAUGAGAGCUGAAUCCUCUGCUUCUUCUGUAUCAUGUGCAAAUAGACCUCCUCCUCCCCCAACCCUGAUAGGAUUCAAAGGAAAGCCCAUCAUGGGAAUGUCCCACUGUGACACUCUGUAGCUCAGGGGAACACCCUGCACCCCCAUGCUCAUCCUUAUAAUAUGAUUGUGUGGUAUCCAAUGCAAAGUUUGUCAUGUUGGGUGUCUUUGGAAGGCUCAUGAUGUACU
Long non-coding RNA from Chrysemys picta bellii (western painted turtle), 1474 nucleotides. RefSeq lists it as uncharacterized. The record is from RefSeq and is a predicted model, not a curated record. NCBI's taxonomy places the organism in Eukaryota, Metazoa, Chordata, Testudines, Emydidae.